UACACUUGGCUGGUUGUUUUCCAACUCUAAAUGCAGUUGUAAGGGAAAAAAUAAAAACAAAAUAAACAACUUCUAUUUUGUUGUUUUUUUUUAACCUUAAUUUAGAAUUAAAAAGAAAAUAGAUUAUAAUUGCAACCAAAACCACGGUCGACAAUAACCUAUCAUAUUUUUUUCUUAACCCAUCUCGAAAGUAUGAGUCAAAUUUAACAGAUUUCAGAAUAUUUAUAAACAAAAGAUGAAUGUACAUAUGUAUGUAUGUAUAUUUUACAAAAAGGGUAAUUUUCCUUUUUUACAUACGAUAUUAAAACAACGCAAUAGUAUCAUCAUAUAAAGUACAUUGCAAUAUGAAAUUAUGCAUUAGUAUUUGAAAACAAUUUAGAGAAGAAGGUUGACGAAAGAAAACCAAAAUAUGGCAUCCAUGGCGGAAAUGGCCCAAUUGGCCGCAUUAAUAAACUAUAAUAAACAACAUUAUCGAGAAAUUGACAAGAUCAUUAAAGAUCAUAAUCACAACUGUAAAAAGGAAACAACACCUGAGAAUCGAGACAAAGUGAAGAUGAUGAGAAGUGAUAGUCAGGAGAAUAACAAAUGUUGGUGUUACAAAUAAAAUUAUAUUUUUAUAGUAAAUAUAUGUAUGUAAAGCGAAAAUAUGUUUUAAGAAUUUGAAUUUUAUAUCAACAAUGUAUUCCUAAGUAUUCUCUAAUAAAUAAACAAUAACAUUAAUGAAUAAUAAAAAUA
Lucilia cuprina (Australian sheep blowfly) is the source of this 735-nucleotide long non-coding RNA. RefSeq lists it as uncharacterized. Lineage: Eukaryota; Metazoa; Arthropoda; Insecta; Diptera; Calliphoridae. The record is from RefSeq and is a predicted model, not a curated record. The transcript is spliced from 2 exons.